GAGGCAGCUGGCGCGCCGGUACCGGGCGCUGCCGCUGCGGGCGCGACUGGCGAUGCUGGUCGCGGCGGCGGUGGCGUUCGCGGUGGCGGCGGUCUCG
This 97-nucleotide transfer RNA is filed under the name Streptomyces olivaceoviridis. RNAcentral's name for it is "tRNA-Pro". RNAcentral also lists the same sequence under 1 other name. The record is from RNAcentral. Lineage: Bacteria; Bacillati; Actinomycetota; Actinomycetes; Kitasatosporales; Streptomycetaceae.